GAUGAACGCUGGCGGCGUGCCUAAUACAUGCAAGUCGAGCGAACAGACGAGGAGCUUGCUCCUCUGACGUUAGCGGCGGACGGGUGAGUAACACGUGGAUAACCUACCUAUAAGACUGGGAUAACUUCGGGAAACCGGAGCUAAUACCGUAUAACAUGUUGAACCGCAUGGUUCAACAGUGAAAGACGGUCUUGCUGUCACUUAUAGAUGGAUCCGCGCCGCAUUAGCUAGUUGGUAAGGUAACGGCUUACCAAGGCAACGAUGCGUAGCCGACCUGAGAGGGUGAUCGGCCACACUGGAACUGAGCCACGGUCCAGACUCCUACGGGAGGCAGCAGUAGGGAAUCUUCCGCAAUGGGCGAAAGCCUGACGGAGCAACGCCGCGUGAGUGAAGAAGGUCUUCGGAUCGUAAAACUCUGUUAUUAGGGAAGAACAAAUGUGUAAGUAACUAUGCACGUCUUGACGGUACCUAAUCAGAAAGCCACGGCUAACUACGUG
RNAcentral lists this ribosomal RNA (497 nucleotides) under uncultured bacterium. RNAcentral describes it as "partial 16S ribosomal RNA". It matches the Rfam family "Bacterial small subunit ribosomal RNA", at positions 28 to 507 of the family's 1533-position model. The record is from RNAcentral.